This 580-nucleotide ribosomal RNA is filed under the name Bacillus subtilis. RNAcentral describes it as "bacterial SSU rRNA". It matches the Rfam family "Bacterial small subunit ribosomal RNA", at positions 44 to 604 of the family's 1533-position model. Lineage: Bacteria; Bacillati; Bacillota; Bacilli; Caryophanales; Bacillaceae. The record is from RNAcentral.
GUGCCUAAUACAUGCAAGUCGAGCGACUGGAUUGAGAGCUUGCUCUCAAGAAGUUAGCGGCGGACGGGUGAGUAACACGUGGGUAACCUGCGCAUAAGACUGGGAUAACUCCGGGAAACCGGGGCUAAUACCGGAUAACAUUUUGAACUGCAUGGUUCGAAAUUGAAAGGCGGCUUCGGCUGUCACUUAUGGAUGGACCCGCGUCGCAUUUAAUAGUUGGUGAGGUAACGGCUCACCACGGCAACGAUGCGUAGCCGACCUGAGAGGGUGAUCGGCCACACUGGGACUGAAAAACGGCCCAAACUCCUACGGGAGGCAGCAGUAGGGAAUCUUCCGCAAUGGACAAAAGUCUGAGGGAGCAACCCCGCGUGAGUGAUGAAGGCUUUCGGGUCGAAAAACUCUGUUGUUAGGAAAAAACAAGUGCUAUUUGAAUAACUUGGCACCUUGACGGUACCUAACCAGAAACCCACGGUUAACUACGUGCCCGCAGCCGCCGCAAUACUAAGGUGGAAAGCGUAUAUCCGGAGUUAUUGGGCGUCUGUGCGCGCAUAUGUCUCUUUAAUUCUGAUGUGAAAGCCCC